RNAcentral lists this unclassified non-coding RNA (352 nucleotides) under soil metagenome. Its description in RNAcentral is "partial contains 5.8S ribosomal RNA, internal transcribed spacer 2, and large subunit ribosomal RNA". The stretch from base 1 to 120 matches the Rfam family "5.8S ribosomal RNA", at positions 35 to 154 of the family's 154-position model. The record is from RNAcentral.
GAUGAAGAACGCAGCGAAAUGCGAUAAGUAAUGUGAAUUGCAGAAUUCAGUGAAUCAUCGAAUCUUUGAACGCACAUUGCGCCUGCCAGUAAUCUGGCGGGCAUGCCUGUUCGAGCGUCAUUACAACCCUCAGGCCCCCGGGCCUGGCGUUGGGGAUCGGCGGAGCCCCCCGUGGGCACACGCCGUCCCCCAAAUACAGUGGCGGUCCCGCCGCAGCUUCCAUCGCGUAGUAGCUAACACCUCGCGACUGGAGAGCGGCGCGGCCACGCCGUAAAACACCCAACUCUUCUGAAGUUGACCUCGAAUCAGGUAGGAAUACCCGCUGAACUUAAGCAUAUCAAUAAGCGGAGGA